GUGAGGAAUAUUGGUCAAUGGGCGGGAGCCUGAACCAGCCAAGUCGCGUGAAGGAAGAAGGAUCUAUGGUUCGUAAACUUCUUUUGCAGGGGAAUAAAGUGCAGGACGUGUCCUGUUUUGUAUGUACCCUGAGAAUAAGGAUCGACUAACUCCGUGCCAGCAGCCGCGGUAAUACGGAGGAUCCGAGCGUUAUCCGGAUUUAUUGGGUUUAAAGGGUGCGUAGGUGGUUUGAUAAGUCAGCGGUGAAAGUUUGCAGCUUAACUGUAAAAAUGCCGUUGAAACUGUCGGACUUGAGUGUAAAUGAGGUAGGCGGAAUGCGUGGUGUAGCGGUGAAAUGCAUAGAUAUCACGCAGAACUCCGAUUGCGAAGGCAGCUUACUAAGCUACAACUGACACUGAAGCACGAAAGCGUGGGGAUCAAACAGGAUUAGAAACCCGAGUAGUCC
Molecule: ribosomal RNA, 445 nt
Filed under: uncultured bacterium
Lineage: Bacteria
Description: partial 16S ribosomal RNA
Rfam family: Bacterial small subunit ribosomal RNA
Source: RNAcentral